GAUGAACGCUGGCGGCGUGCCUAAUACAUGCAAGUCGAGCGAACGGACGAGAAGCUUGCUUCUCUGAUGUUAGCGGCGCACGGGUGAGUAACACGUGGAUACCCUACCUAUAAGACUGGGAUAACUUCGGGAAACCGGCGCUAACACCGGAUGAUAUUUUGUACCGCAUGGUUCAAAAGUGAAAGACGGUCUUGCUGUCACUUAUAGAUGGAUCCGCGCUGCAUUAGCUAGUUGGUAAGGUAACGGCUUACCAAGGCAACGAUGCAUAGCCGACCUGAGAGGGGGUUCGCCCACACUGGAGCUGAGACACGGUCCAGAGGCCUACGGGAGGCAGCAGUAGCGAAUGGUCCGCAAUGGGCGAAAGCCUGAGGCAGCAGCGCAGCGUGAGUGAUGAAGGUCUGCGGAUCGUAAAACUCUGUUAUGAGGGAAGAACAGAUGUGUAAGUAACUGUGCGCAUCUUGACGGUACCGAAGCAGAAGGCCACGGCAAACUAGGG
This 496-nucleotide ribosomal RNA is filed under the name uncultured bacterium. Its description in RNAcentral is "partial 16S ribosomal RNA". It matches the Rfam family "Bacterial small subunit ribosomal RNA", at positions 28 to 506 of the family's 1533-position model. The record is from RNAcentral.